This 317-nucleotide ribosomal RNA is filed under the name uncultured archaeon. RNAcentral describes it as "bacterial SSU rRNA". It matches the Rfam family "Archaeal small subunit ribosomal RNA", at positions 1027 to 1343 of the family's 1478-position model. The record is from RNAcentral.
GGUUAAGUCAGGCAACGAGCAAGACCCGUGCCCACAGUUGCCAGCAUACCCUCCGGGGUGAUGGGCACACUGUGGGGACCGCCGCUGUUAAAGCGGAGGAAGGUGCGGGCUACGGUAGGUCAGUAUGCCCCGAAUCAUCCGGGCUACACGCGGGCUACAAUGGUUGGGACAAUGGGCACCUACACCGAGAGGUGAUGGUAAUCUCCUAAACCCAGCCUUAGUUCGGAUUGAGGGCUGCAACUCGCCCUCAUGAAGCCGGAAUCCGUAGUAAUCGCGUAUCAAUAUCACGCGGUGAAUACGUCCCUGCUCCUUGCACA